RNAcentral lists this long non-coding RNA (286 nucleotides) under Olea europaea (common olive). RNAcentral's name for it is "long non-coding RNA (OEUR_LNC013628)". Lineage: Eukaryota; Viridiplantae; Streptophyta; Magnoliopsida; Lamiales; Oleaceae. The record is from RNAcentral.
ACAUAACAAUUUUUUUACAAAUUUUUGCAGCAGCAAGAUCAAACUCUGCCAUUCAGUAAUCACUGGAAGCACUAGAUGAUACUUAAAAUUCAAUUUCCAAAUCUAGCUUUCUAACCUAAACCCAAAAAACCAGACAAAUAUGGACACAGAAAAGAAGAAGAAACAACAAUCUAAUGACUGUAAGCCAAAUCAACAUACACCACGACAAAUAUGGACACAGAAAAGAAGAAGAAACAGCAAUCUGAUGACUGUAAGCCAAAUCAACAUACACCACCACCGGGGCGUA